GGGGAGAUGGCUCAGUGGUUAAGAGCACUGACUGCUCUUCCAGAGGUCCUGGGUUCAAUUCCCAGCAACCACA
Molecule: non-coding RNA, 73 nt
Organism: Mesocricetus auratus (golden hamster)
Lineage: Eukaryota; Metazoa; Chordata; Mammalia; Rodentia; Cricetidae
Source: Rfam